GUACUAGCUUAAGUGGUUGAUCUAUUUUCUUUAUAUGUAUUACUUUCACGAGUGAGAUUUUUCCCUCCAUAUAUAUUUUAAUUUUUUUUUUUUGUUACUACCUUUCCUUUUUUUACUAAAGAGGACCCUUUAACAAUUUUGCAAGGCCAAUUUAGUGGUGAUGAACUAUUUUAGUUAUUGCUUGUCCAAGAAACUCUUUUUUUCUCCCUCAAUUCCAAAUGAUAGUCUUGCUGGGUAGAGUAUUCUAUAUUGUAGGUUUUCUUUUUCUUUUUUUUUUUUUAGCAUUUAAAUGUAUCAUAUCAUGCCACUUCUGUCUAAUCAGCAAAAUUUGUCAAAAAUUGCCAGUAGUCUUAUGGGGGUUCCUUUUUAUGUGAUGUCCUUUUAGGGCCAUGCCAGCAGCAUGUGGAGGUUCCCAGGCUAGGGGUCUAAUCAAAGCUGUUGUGGCCAGCCUACACCAGAGCCACAGCAACACCAGAUCCAAGCAAUGUCUGUGACCUACACCACAGCUCAUGGCAGCACCAGAUUCUUCACCCACUGAGCGAGACCAGGGAUCGAACCCACAAAUUCAUGGUUCCUAGUCAGAUUCGUUUCUGCUGUGCCACAAUGGGAACUCCAAGAUUCUUUCUCUUUAAUGUUGCCAUUUUAAUUAGGACAUCUCUUGGUGUGGGUCUUUUGGGAUUCAUCUUGUUUGGGACUCCUUGUAUUUCUUGGACCUGGAUAUCUGUUUCAUCCAUUAAGGAAGGUUUCAAACAUAAUUUCAUCAAAUACAAUUUCUGCCUGUUUCUCCGUCUUGUCCUUUUGGGACCUCUGUAAUGCAAAUGUCAGAAGUUUCUUAAAGCGAAGUUCCCAUUGUGGCUCAACAGAGAUGAAUGUGACUAGUAUCCAUGAGGAUGCAGGUUCAGUCCUUGGCCUCACACAGUGGGUUAAGGAUCCAGUGUUGCCGUGAGUGUGGUGUAGGUUGCAGAUGGGGCUUGGAUCUGGCAUUGCUGUGGCUGUGGCAUAGGCCAGUGGCUGCAGCUCUGAUUUGACCCCUAGUCUAGGAACUUCCAUACUCUAUGUGUGCAGCCCUAAAAGGACAAGAAGUUUCUUAAACUGCUUCCAUUUACUACAUAUAUGUAUAUAUGCUAUUCCGAUAGGUGAUUUCCACCAUUCUGUUUUCCAGGUCGCUUAUGUAUUCUUCAGUGUCACCCCAUCUUCUGUUAAUUCCUUCUAGUGUAUUUUUCAUUUCAGUUAUUAUAUUUGUCAGUUCUUAGUGGUUCUUUUUUAUAUUUUCUAGUUAUUUGAUGAAGUUCUUAUUGUGUUCUUCUAUUAUUUUUCUGAGUUUAGUAAGCAUUUUUAUUGCUGUUACUAUAAACUCUUUAUCAGGUAAGUUAUUUCUGUGUCAUUAGGUUUUUUCUGGGGUUUUAUCUUAUACUUUUGCUUAGAAUCUACUUAUUUAUUUUCUCAUUUUGUUUGAUGUUUGCUGCUUUGGUGGAACACAGGGCUAGAGUUAAAAGAUCUAGAGCCAGAGCCAGGUGUGAGCUGGGGAUUCUCCUAGGCUCAGUGAUAAUUUUGUCCUGAUUGGAGCAGGGCCACGGCCCAAGGAGUUGGAGUUGGAGCCCUGAGGGAAUUGUGCUUCUCCCAGUGUGAUAGUGGUCCUCACCAUGUUUGAAGGCAGCAAAUCUGAGCUAUCUCUGCUUCUUCCUGGUACUUUUGUAGUCUCUGCUUUGGUCAAGGAUGUGGUUGCAUUUGGGGCUGGAGCCACAGUUUCAAGGUUUGCACUGGCUCAGUCAUAGUCUCUGCCUUGAUUGGUGUUGAGGCUGGGGCUGGAGGGGCUGCAGCCACAAAUCUGAGUUAGCUCAGCUUCUCCCCAGGGUGCUCGAUGGAGUCUCUAUCUUGAUUGGGAGUAGUACUGGAUCAGGAGGGGCUAGGGCACAGCGUGUGCAUACCCUGGGACAUAUUGCAGUGUUCUUGGCAGGCCAGCCUGAGCACGAGGAAAUUUUCAAUCUUCUUCUUCCCUGACUCUGGGACCGAGAGAGUCUGUCUCCCUUCUCUUCAAGAGCAGAGUUGGUUUUUAACAGCCCUCCAGUAAGCCUCACUGGUUUUCACAUCAGCCAAGGACUCAUUUUCCUGGCACCAGAGCCCAGUGCCAAGGUGCCCAGUAUGGGGCUUGAGUCCCUCACUCCUUAGGGACGUUCCCUGAGCCUGUGAUAUUCUCAGGAUCUUCUGGAUCACCCACCACAAGUGUGUGUCCUGACUAGAUCACUUCUUCUCUCAUACCAGACUCUGUGAUUCUUUCAUGAUAGCCUUGGUUGUAGAAGAGUCAUUCAGCUACUCUUCAGUUCAUUUUCAGUGAGAAGUGUUCUGUGUGUAGAAUUAGUUUUGUUGUGUUCUUGGGGAUGCUGAUCUCAGGGUCUUUUUACCCUGCUAUAUCUUAAUCUCACCUUUUCCUGUGCAUUACUUUUAGCAGUAAUUAGGAAGCACACUUGAAUUUUUGAAUACAGAAAAAAUGUAACAGUGUAGUGAUGUAUCAAGCAAUGGGAAAACUUCACGCUGCUUGGUCACUGCUUACUUCUUGGAUAGAAUGUCAUAAAAAAUUAAAAAAUCUGUCUCAAAAAUCAGAUUUUUUAUUUAAUAUGGUAUGAAAAUAUCACAUGAUACUGAAAAAAUUUUUUGAAUCAAAAAAUAAAAUGAUAGACUUUUUCUACUGAUUUGUCCUUUAAUCAAAUAUCUGCAAAAUAUCUGUUCGAAUAAAACAUUUUUAAAAGGUAAACAUUUAUAUAUUACCAAAUCUAUAAGGUUAGUUAACCUUGUGAGUCAAUAAAGAUUCUUUUCAACUGAUAACUAAGAAGGUGUAGAAAAUGAAACUCCCCUGCUUGUUAAUUGUACAGCAGUGAGGUUUUCCCAACAGGGUGCCUCUUCUAAGUAGUCCUCUACCAUCUGCAACCCAGGCAAUAAAUUCUGAAGAUAGAUGUAUCAGGACUUUCAAACUGAGGGAUGUUAUUAUUCUUUCCAGUGUUCUGGUAUUUGUGUGGUAAGGAAAGGUUGUUUGUCUAUAAUACCUUAAUACCCUGGGACUAAUACCUUAGUCCUAAAGCUUGAAAUCAUAAUGAACCAAAAACCUGAGUUCCUAAUAAAAUUGCAGACCAAGCUAUUGUGCUAACAAGUAGCUCAGUGGUUUAAAACUUUGGCUGUCUAUUAUAAUCAGCCUAGGUUAAAAAUAUAGCCAUGCCUGGGCUGCAUCCCAGAACAAUUUAAUUGUAAUCUUAGGAAGUCAUGCUAAGGUAUUAGUAGUUUUUAAAAUCUUACCAGUUGAUUUUAAUGGCAGCCAGGCUGUAGACUCACUGAUAAUACUAAAUGUUGAUGCCUAGGCAUAUCAUCAGAGGAAACAAGUGGGGAGCAGGCAGGUAGGCACAAAAGCUGAAUUAUCACUAAACCCUGCACACCUGGGAACAAUAAUCAGACAGUUAAGAUUAGCAGUCUAGAAAAAAAAAUAUGGGUUACCUCGAGCUGCAGAGAAUGAAAACUGAACAAAGUUACAGUGGCCUGUGAUUUGAUGUACAAAACUGUUAAUGAUUUUUCUCUUCUACCCAAAGAUUUAGAGCAUGAAGAAUGUCUAAAAAUAGCGGUUCGUAUGUACAUAAGAAUCACCUCGCAUACAGAUUAUAAAAGAGAUCCUACCCAAGUGGUUCUUUCUUUGGUAGGGCUCAUAAUCUGCUUUUUUAAAUCUAGUGUUUUCUGAUGUAGAUGGACUACAGUUCACAUUUUGCAUAAACAGUGGUCUACGGGAUAAAGAUGCCCUAGCAGAAUAAAUUAUGUGCUUUAAAAAGGAGGAAAUAUCAAGGAGUUCCCAUGGUGGCUCGAUGGUAACAAACCUGACAAGUAUUCAUGAGGAUGCAUGGUCAAUCCCUGGCCUCACUCAGUGGGUUAAGGAUCUGGCAUUGCCGUAAGCUGCAGUGUAGGUUGUAGAUGCAGCUCAGAUCUGAUGUUGCUCUGGUAUAGGCCAUGAGCUACAGCUCCAAUUCAACUCCUAGCCUGGAAACAUGCUGGAAUGUGGCCCUAACAAGUGAAGGAAACAAUAUCAAGAAAAUGAAAAUGUAACACAGAGAAGAAAGGAAAUAAACACUAUCAUUUGAUCAUGCCUAGUUUGUUUGGUUUGGUUUGGAUUGGUUGGUUAAUUUUUGGUAAGGGAAAAACCCAGCAUUGUCUUUACUACAGAAUAAAGAGUAUUCAUAGACAAUGUCACCUGUAGUCAGUAAGAAGAUGAACAGAAUCAUAUCCACUUGAGCUACAGCCCUAACACUGUAUGUUUUGGUAAUGGUUAUAUGAUGUAUAGGAUUAGCUAUGUAUUCAGGAAAAAUGAACCAUGUAUUAAUUCUGGCUCCAUGUAAUUUAAUUUGAGUCCUGGUUCAACUGAAUAUUAGUUUUGUCUAGUUUCCAUGUCACUGGUGAUCAAAUGUGAUUAUGUUGAAAUUACCUGGAGAAUUUUUAAAACCUGGUACUUGGAUCUCUUACCUAGGAAUAAUUGCAAGGGUAUAGAUUGGUCAUUGAGAAGUUUUUAGAGCUCUUCGGGAGAUUAUUAAUAUGCAGUAGAUUUUGAGAAUGACUGCCUUAGGUCAAAGUGGUUUAUUAACAUUAUCUUUUAACAAGUUGAGAAUUAUGUGUUAAGAAUUUUUUUUAAAUAUAUGAAUUAGUAAAUGAGCCCCAGCUUUUUAAUACUGUCAAGUCAUUGUAAUAUGGAUAACCUGAAUCUUUCUUAGGAAACAAACUGUUGGGAUAGUUUAAGAUAAUAGGGCAUACCUUGUUUUACUUGUCUUCACUUUAUUGUGCUUCACAGAGAGUGAGGUUUGUUUUUCUUUUUCUUUUCUUUUUUUUUUUUUUAACAGAUUGAAGGUUUUGGCAACCCUGCAUCAAGCAGGUUUGUCAAUGCCAUUUUUUUUUUCAAUAACAUUUGCUGACUUUGUGUCUCUGUUUCACAUUGGGAUAAUUAUUGCUGUGUUUCAAACUUUUUUUUAAUAUUAUAUGUGUUAUGGUGACCUGUGAUCAGUGAUCUUCGUUCUUACCAUUGUACUAUCUCAGGUUCCAUGAACCACACCCAUAUGAGAUUGUGAACUUAAUGGUAAGUGUUGUGUGUUCUGACUGUUCCAACUACCAGCCAUUCCCCUGUCUCUUUCUACCCACUUGGUCUGUCCUAUUCCCUGAAACAUAACAAUGUUGAAAUUAGGCUAAUUCAUAACCUUACAGUGACCUCUAAGGUUCAUGUGAAAGGAAGAGUCUCACAUUUCUGACUUUAAAUCAAAAGCUAAAAAUGACUAAGCUUAGAGAGGAACACAGUCUACAGGUGAAAUAUGCUGAGAGCUAGGCUUCUUGCACCAGUUAGUCAGAUUGUGAAUACAAAGGCAAGGUUCUUAAAGGGAAUUAGAAGUGCUACUCCAGUGAAUAUAUGAGUGAUAAGAAAGUGAAACAGUCUUAUUCUUAAUAUAGGGAAAGUUUUAUUGGUCUGGAUAGAAGAUCAGAAAGCCGCAAAAUUGCCUCAGGCCAAAGCAAGAGCGAGGUCCUAAGUCCCUUUAAUUCACUGAAGGCUGAGGGAGGCGUGGAAGCCGUAGAAGAAAAAUUUGAAGCUAGUAGGGAUCAUUUCAUGAGGUUUAAGAAAAGAAGCCAUCUUUAUUACAUAAAAGUGCAAGAUGAAGCAAAAUUGCAGAGGUAGAAUCUGCAGCAAAUUAUCCAGAAGAUCUGACUAAGAUAAUCAAUGAAAGUGGUUUAACCGAAGAGAUUUUCUGUGUAGAUAAGAAAGUUUUAUAUUGGAAGACGCUUACGAGGACUUUCAUAGCUAGAGAGGAGAAGCCAAUGGCUGACUUUAAAGGUUUGGAGGACAGAUUGACUCUUUUGUUAGGGGAUAAUACAGAUGGUGACUUUCAGUUGGAGCCAUUGCUCAUUUACCAUUCUGAAAAUUGUAAGGGCCUUUAAAAAUUAUGCUCAAUCUACCCUCCCUAUGCUCUGUAAAUGGAACAACAAAGCAUGGAUGGCAGCACAUCAGUUUAUACUGUUGGUUACCAACUAUUUAAAGUCCUCUUUAGAGUCCUACUGCUCAGAAACAGAUGCCUUUCAAAAUAUUACUGCUCAGAGUUCCCAUUGUGGUACAGCAGAAACGAAUAUGGCUAGUAUCCAUGAGGAUGCGGGUUUGAUCCCUGGCCUUGCUCAGUGGGCCAGGGAUCCGGUGUGGCUGUGAACUGUGGUGUAUGUUGCAAACGCAGCUCUGAUCCCACAUUGCUAUGGCUGUGGCGUAGCCCAGCAGCUAUAACUCCGAUUGGACCCCUCUCUUGGGAAUAUCCACAGGCUGUGGGUGUGCCCUAAGAAGCAAAAAAAAAAAAAAAAAAAAAAAAAAAAAA
RNAcentral lists this long non-coding RNA (6368 nucleotides) under Sus scrofa (pig). Its description in RNAcentral is "lncRNA (ENSSSCG00040050169.1)". Lineage: Eukaryota; Metazoa; Chordata; Mammalia; Artiodactyla; Suidae. The record is from RNAcentral.